UAUUCCCAAGUUAAUCCUAGUUUCACAUUCGUUAUUCCUAGACUUAUAAUCUCGAUGGUCAUCAAAAUCAUAAGAGACAAGCAAUCAAGCAGAUGUUCAUACAACUCAAUUUACUUAAUUAACAGCAAAUAAUUAUCAUUAACAGGUAAGGAUAUUUUAACAAGCUUGGCAAGAUAAAUUAAACAUAAACAAACAAUUCAAUAUAGCAAUUAGUCCAAUAAUCAAGGUUUCAUUCAAUCACAAACACAAAGUAAAAGGUUUUUACACCUAAAGCAGAAAGUAAACACAUAAUAGUUUCACAAUGGAAUGCUAAACAUGGACACGUUAACAACCCACAUGAUUACCGACAUGUAUCCGCUCUCCAAUCCUUCCGAUCUCCGCUCCCGUUAGCUUAACGGCCUUCCGGCCGCCUUCUAGACCCUCAAAACGGCUUAACAGAAGUUAAUUAUCGACUAAAUUAGGUUAGAAGUCGAAUCCCCCCUCUGGUCAGCUGAUAAUCGCCUUUUAUAACCCUUGUAACCGACUUACGUACACUGGGCGUAAUUCGGAUUACGCUGGGCGUAGUGAAGAUUAAUACGCGAUGAGGUUAUCCGGAUGCCAGCCGUUACGCGGGGCGUACAUAAAGAUUACGUUGGGCGUAACAUGUAUUUGGCUACUAUGCUUGGCAUACAUGUCCAUUACGCGGGGCGUAAAUGGCUCCUCUAGCAUUUUUCCUUUCUUUUAGCCUCUAAGCCCGAUUUCCGCUUCAGUCUUUUCUUUUGUGCUCUUUCGACAACGAAUAACUGCAAAUCAUAAUUCAAAGCAUUAUUAGUACUUUUUAGUUCUAAAAGAGAAUAAUAAAGGCCGAGAUAUUAAGAUAUAAUGUAUAAAAAUAUAUAUAAAAAUACACAUAUCAAAAUACCCCACACUUAGCCUUUGCUUGCCCCCAAGCAAAUUACUUUUAUUUUACCAAUAUCGUACUAAACAAUCCAUUUAAAACUCAGCCAUUAUGUCAAGACUGCAAUGCAUGCAUUUGUGUCUAAAAUUUUCCUAAAGAACCCCCAUACUCUAAAUACUCACAAUCCUCACAAACAUUCGCCCGCUCACCCCGAACUAUGCUCAUUUUAUGCAUCCCUCAGAAUCCAUCCUCAGAAAACCUCUUAACCUCAAGGUAUUUUUGGUUGAGCAACCCAAGCAUACAUAAUAUAGAAUUACAAUUUAUGAUAGCACUAUGGAGCUUUUUUGGAAUUCUUCACUUUCUUGAUACUUUGAUCUUUUAUUUCUUUGAAUUCACCACCUAAUUUGAUUUCUGGUAUCUUUAACUUUUUGAAUUUCUUGGAAUUUUGAUCUUUUGAUCUUCACUUUAUUUGCUCCAAAAUUCUUCAAACUUUUCUGGCAAUUCUCUUUUUUUUUUUACAUGUACCUCACUUUUUUCACUCAAAACCUACAUGCUUAAGCAGAGGCGCUCAACCUCUACCUUUAUUGGCUAACGAUAAUAAUUUUCCUGGAUACAUUUUAGGUUUAGGCUGCUAAACAUAUUGCAUCCCUCAAACCAAGCGAGGUUAUGUUUUUGUUCCAUGAUUUCACUAAAAUAAGGGAGGCCACAAAUGCACUAGAACGUAUAUAAGCUCAACUAAACAUUUGAGUUCUCAUCGGAUCAUCUCAUACAAUAUUAGCAAAAUUUUAAAUUAUCACUAGAUUUUUCUAAAUUAAACUAUUAUUUCAAGUUUUUAAAUUUUCAAAAUUUCUAGAUCUAGCAAUUUCCAAACUAUUAUAUAUAUAUAUAUAUAUAUNAUAUAUAUAUUAUUUUUUUAUAAUUUGCUUUUACCAACCCCCUACCCCACACUUAUUUCAUACAAUGUCCUCAUUGUAUGCAUAAAACUAAUUAAACACAUAAAAAGGGAGAAAAAGGAACAGACUCCCCUGGGGUAGUUGUGGCGAGAUUGAAUGGGGCUGCUACAAGUUGCUUCAAAUAUUGCUGAAAAACUGAAAACUGGAACUGUUGCUUCUGAAUUUGCCGAUAAAUAAAAUCAAGACUGCCGACUUCGAAAAUGUGGUGCAAAAGAUUGCAAACAAAUGCAAUGUAUAGUAACCAUGACGUGGGAAAGUGUCGACCACGUCGUCUCGUCAAGAAUGACAUCCUCUUCUCGCGAUGAAAACUCCCCCACAACAUAGGAAAGUGUCAACCAUGUCGUGGCAGCCGGGAUGAUACUCCUUCCUCGCGUCAAAAUAAAACUCUAUGGUGUGGGAACAGCUCAUCCAUAUCGUAAGAGUCAAAAAUAAAAUGCCACUCUUCUACACAAUCGCUCACGAAAUCAAUAUGCACCCCACACUUAUGACAAAUUGUGGGUCUUGAAUAUAAUCUUCAAACUCUCACACGACUCUCUCUAGCAAUAGUCGGACCUAGCUACUGAACUUACUGCCAGCUUUCUAAGGGCGAAAAUUCUGCAGAGAUCUAAACAACCAAAGUGCAUCAACAUGGAAAACAAAAGUUAAACACCCUAAAUUAAAAUUAAUUACAUACCAAAUAAAAAUACUAAUACUAAGCAACAAAAAAAAUAAACUAAAAAUAACACAAAAAAAAUAAAAAGGAUAACUAAAUCACUCAUCAUCCCCGUUGUCAUGCUGCUGUGUCCCAGAAGUACCGGCCCCAUCAUGUCGUGGCUGGAAUGGUGGUGGAAAAGGAACCGAGUACUGAAACCCCUGAUGGGCAAAGAAUGCGGUCAACGAAUCCCCAUACCACUGCUGUUGUCUCUCCACGUGUGCAACAUACUCACCAAGGUUCUGAACCCCCAAGUCAAUACAGUCAAUGCGCUGAGCUAAGUAACACAUAUCAAUCUUCGGCUCAGGUCCCUACUGCGCUCCCCGAGGAGCAGGUCUACGCCGCUGGACCCAUCUCAGCUUUGACUCGACGGCACCCUCCUCAUCCGCCACGUCAUCUGGUCGUACCCUCAAGACACCAUCUCCGCCCCGCUCAAGUACACGCAUCGACUCCAAUAACUGAAGGCUCAUCGGCCUCAUAUCAUGCAACACCAUCGAUCUCGUGAUCUCACGCAUCAACAACUGAUAUGAUCGAGCUAGUCACGUGAUAAAAUGCACCCCGCAAAUCAGGCUAUCCUCCUAAAAUCCCCUGGCCCUCCUACCCAAAUACGCGGCUAAAGCAACUGGAAGGUUCAGGUGCCUCCCUAGAGUAACAAGUGCCCAUAAGAAAUACAAGUAUGUCGAAGGCACUCUCUCAUUGUUCUUAUGGUGCAUGAGAGACAUGGAAAUCAAACGGUGCAGCAGUCUAUAUGCAGUAGACCAAAUCAUCCUCCCCCGUGUAGUAGAUGGCGUAUAUACUCCCCCUGUAAUCUCGGCCUAAAAAAUGUUUUUGUUAUAGUCAUCUGGCCAGUCCGUGAGACAAUCAACAAGGAAUGUCGAGAAGUGGACACUCCUCUAUGACACUGCACUCCCAACUCACACCCCCCAGUCUGAAGGCAAAGGCUGUCCUAUCAUCAGGUGUCUUCCUAGGGUCAUAGGAAACUAUAGCAUAAAACUCCAGCAAAAAUUCACGAUAAACAGGCUCCUAGAUCCUGAACAAUCGUGCCCAUCCCUGACAUAUGAACAAAUGCACUCCACUUGCGUCCGAGUGCGUGUAUUGCAAAAAAUCCUGGAUCAGCGCAGCAAGGCCAGUCUGGGUCGCCAAUUCCCAGUCAAAUGAGGGCGCUAUGUCGAUCUCCUUAGUGAGAAGUAGACUCAAAUUGUUGACAUAUCGUGCCCAGGUUGCAUCGUUUAAAGUUUGCGGAAAUUGUAAGAAACGAUGAUCAGUCACUUCCUCGGGUGGGUUAGUCCUUUGAGUUCUUUGGGCCAUAAUCUUAGUGUCGAUUUCUACAAGAAAAGAAGCACAAUCGAAAAUCUCGUGGGAUACACGAUCAUCUCAGUGCAGCAAAGUAGAAGAGAAUUUGAAAGAAUAACAAAAAAGUCAAAGGUAAAUAGAUAUAACCUGUCGUCGACUUACGCUGGGCGUAAAGCGAAGUUACGCUGGGCGUAACCCCAACUCCGUGAAAAAGCCAUCCGCGAUCAAUGAUUCAUUACACUUGGCGUAAAUACACUUACGCUGGGCGUAAUUGAACUGAAAUAUUUCCUUUUCCUUAUUUGAAAUUCCUUUCUUUUAACUAAUUAAUUUGGGAGCUUCUAAAUAUAAUUAUUAUUUUCUUUUAAUUGCUUCAACAACAGCCAUGACUUUCCGACGAGUGACAUAUUAAAAAAAUUGAGACGUCAUGAUCACUUGUUUUUGUAGAGAUCAAAAAACAACGGUUGAUCAAAACCUUUGCAAGCAAGAAUUGGUUUGCGAAAAAAAUCACUUUCGGGACCUGUUAGAAUAUUUCCUUUGUUUUCUUCGCACCUUUAACUAAAAGUAGAACAAGAAGUGACCUAACUAGUCAAGAACAGCAAGAGCUCGGUCUUCCACUUAACCACCACAAUACGCCUUGCUAUACUACGCCUCAUGGAUUGAGUUGGACAAAUCACCCAAAGUAGUAGACUAAACAAGUCAAGAAUUCCCUAAUCGCUUAUAUUCUCGAAACCCAUGAAAAAGGUAAAGUCAAACAAUGUGUACGAUCCCAAAUUCCUACAAAUAAUAACAAGAACCUUCCCGAAAAGUGAAAUGAUAUCAACGAAAAUCGAACUAAAAAUAAAACUAAAUAAAAACAAAUAACGAAUAAUCAAAUAAACUAAUUUAAUGACAAGCCGUUCCCUGGUAACGGCACCAAAAACUUGAUGUACACAAAAGUAUCCACUAAUUUUAAUAUUUAUAACCUAACAAACUUAGACUAACUAUGCACUUAUAGGCAGUGUACCUAGUCAGAUUACAGUAUAGCUUAGGUAAGUCGGGUGUCGAUCACAGGGAACGGUGGUGAAUUAAUUUAAAAUAUUUGAUUAUAGGUUACAGGUCACACGAAAAGAAUAAAGAAGUAGUUUAAUACAUCUCAAACGAACAAUUAAUUGACAACUCUCGGUAAACUAACAAGAAAGCAAAUCUCUACAGGUACUUUGGUUUAGAUAAAUUACACCUUAAAAACAUAGACAAUUUCAUGCACAAAUUCAUUUAUUCAUGUUCACCGAUUCCUAAAAUGAUUAGAUUCGCGUUCACUAUAACUAAUCCUUUAGCAAACAAGUCAAUUCAAACAGUGAUCAGUUGAUUAAACUAACAUGCUUCCUAGUGUUCAGUUCGUAUCAAGCAAGACUUGUAAAUAUAGUUAAUCAAUUUGGACAUUUAAUCAACCUCUUGUUGAUGGUCAUCAAACAAGGCUCACACAUUAACUUACUUAUUCUCAAGUUAAUCCUNACAUUUGUUAUUCCUAGACUUAUAAUCUCGAUGGUCAUCAAAAUCAGAAAAGACAAGCAAUCAAGUAGAUGUUCAUACAACUCAAUUUACUUAAUUAACUGCAAAUAAUUAUCAUUAACACGUAAGGAUCUUUUAACAAGCUUGGCAAGAUAAAUUAAACAUAAACAAACAAUUCAAUAUAGCAAUUAGUCCAAUAAUCAAGGUUUCAUUCAAUCAUAAACACAAAGUAAAAGGUUUUUAC
This 5546-nucleotide long non-coding RNA is filed under the name Lactuca sativa (garden lettuce). Its description in RNAcentral is "long non-coding RNA (LSAT_LNC001953)". The record is from RNAcentral. Lineage: Eukaryota; Viridiplantae; Streptophyta; Magnoliopsida; Asterales; Asteraceae.